AGUCUGUCCCUGAAGUUCUGGCACUGCGCCUGCCCAAUAGUGUGGGCGCCGGAGAGGGCGACCAUGUCGGUCACGGUGAAGCCCUUGUCACCGAAGGACUGGGUGAGGUUAACGAGGUCGAAGAAUGGGGGAGGUAGCUCGUUGUUCGCCGCCGCUUCGUUUGCGUUGGUGGAGUCCCUCCUUCCCAGAGGAACUGUCCACGAAGGCCCUCCCAGCUGCACCAGAAGAGAAAAAAAAUCCAUGGGAGUCUGGGGCGGCGACGGUGAGGAUGUCGGCGCAGGAGACGGUCUGCUUGCACAUGGUCUCCAGCUGCGCCUUGAUGCUGUCGAUGACUUCGAA
This 339-nucleotide ribosomal RNA is filed under the name Triticum aestivum (bread wheat). RNAcentral's name for it is "partial small subunit ribosomal RNA". The record is from RNAcentral. Lineage: Eukaryota; Viridiplantae; Streptophyta; Magnoliopsida; Poales; Poaceae.